Molecule: ribosomal RNA, 465 nt
Filed under: Vreelandella stevensii
Lineage: Bacteria; Pseudomonadati; Pseudomonadota; Gammaproteobacteria; Oceanospirillales; Halomonadaceae
Description: partial 16S ribosomal RNA
Rfam family: Bacterial small subunit ribosomal RNA
Source: RNAcentral
CCUACGGGUGGCAGCAGUGGGGAAUAUUGGACAAUGGGCGAAAGCCUGAUCCAGCCAUGCCGCGUGUGUGAAGAAGGCCUUCGGGUUGUAAAGCACUUUCAGUGGGGAAGAAAGCCUUGGGGCUAAUACCCUCGAGGAAGGACAUCACCCACAGAAGAAGCACCGGCUAACUCCGUGCCAGCAGCCGCGGUAAUACGGAGGGUGCGAGCGUUAAUCGGAAUUACUGGGCGUAAAGCGCGCGUAGGCGGUCUGAUAAGCCGGUUGUGAAAGCCCCGGGCUCAACCUGGGAACGGCAUCCGGAACUGUCAGGCUAGAGUGCAGGAGAGGAAGGUAGAAUUCCCGGUGUAGCGGUGAAAUGCGUAGAGAUCGGGAGGAAUACCAGUGGCGAAGGCGGCCUUCUGGACUGACACUGACGCUGAGGUGCGAAAGCGUGGGUAGCAAACAGGAUUAGAUACCCUGGUAGUC